Molecule: ribosomal RNA, 443 nt
Filed under: uncultured bacterium
Lineage: Bacteria
Description: partial 16S ribosomal RNA
Rfam family: Bacterial small subunit ribosomal RNA
Source: RNAcentral
CCUACGGGAGGCAGCAGUGGGGAAUAUUGGGCAAUGGGCGCAAGCCUGACCCAGCAACGCCGCGUGAAGGAAGAAGGCUUUCGGGUUGUAAACUUCCUUUCUCAGGGACGAAGCAAGUGACGGUACCUGAGGAAUAAGCCACGGCUAACUACGUGCCAGCAGCCGCGGAAAUACGUAGGUGGCAAGCGUUAUCCGGAUUUACUGGGUGUAAAGGGCGUGUAGGCGGGAAAGCAAGUCAGAUGUGAAAACCAUGGGCUCAACCUGUGGCCUGCAUUUGAAACUGUUUUUCUUGAGUACUGGAGAGGCAGACGGAAUUCCUGGUGUAGCGGUGAAAUGCGUAGAUAUUAGGAGGAACACCAGUGGCGAAGGCGGUCUGCUGGACAGCAACUGACGCUGAGGCGCGAAAGCGUGGGGAGCAAACAGGAUUAGAUACCCCGGUAGUC